Long non-coding RNA from Cyanistes caeruleus (blue tit), 1691 nucleotides. The record is from Ensembl. Lineage: Eukaryota; Metazoa; Chordata; Aves; Passeriformes; Paridae.
AUGGUUUUAAUUGUCACUCAGUCACCGACUCCCAGUAUCCCCCAGUACUCCCAGUGCCCCCAGUUCCCAUUCCCAGCGCUCCCAGCGCUCCCAGUGCUCCCAGUGCUCCCAGUAUCCCCAGUUACCCAUUCCCAGUAUCCCCAGUACCCCCAGUUACCCAUUCCCAGUGCUCCCAGUUACCCAUUCCCAGUGCCCCCAGUACCCCCAGUUACCCAUUCCCAGUAUCCCCAGUACCCCCAGUUACCCAUUCCCAGUGCUCCCAGUUCCCCCAGUACACCCGGCGUACACCCGGUAGCGGUGGUUGAGCCGGGGGUGCCCGUGGAUGCCGUAGCGCGUCCCCAGCGCUCCCAGUUACCCAUUCCCAGCACUCCCAGUGCUCCCAGUUACCCAUUCCCAGUGCUCCCAGUGCCCCCAGUAUCCCCAGUUACCCAUUCCCCCAGUACACCCGGCGUACACCCGGUAGCGGUGGUUGAGCCGGGGGUGCCCGUGGAUGCCGUAGCGCGUCCCCAGCGCUCCCAGUGCCCCCAGUUACCCAUUCCCAGUGCUCCCAGUAUCCCCAGUUCCCAUUCCCAGUACCCCCAGUAUCCCCAGUUCCCUAGUACACCCGGCGUACACCCGGUAGCGGUGGUUGAGCCGGGGGUGCCCGUGGAUGCCGUAGCGCGUCCCCAGCGCUCCCUGGGCGCGGCUGCUGCCGUAGAAGACGCGGCGCACGCGGGCGUGCAGCAGCGCCAUGGCGCACAGCGCGCACGGCUCCCGCGUCACGAACACGUCGCAGCCGCGCAGCAGGUAACCCCCCGUGACGUCAUCGCCGGCGACGUCGUCGCCGGCGGCGGUGACGUCAUCGGCGGCGCCCACCUCGGCCGCCCCCGGGAUCACGUGACCCGUCAGGUCCAGGGGGACGGCGCCCAGGGAGGCGGCGAAGUCGUCGAGACGGCGGAUGACGUCAUCGUGACACCUUGUGACGUCAUCGUGAGCCCCUCUGACGUCAUCAUUACACCUCAUGGCGUCAUCGUGACCCCUUAUGGCGUCAUCAUUACCAGCAAUGACGUCAUCGCGACCCCUUACAACAUCGCUGUGACCUCUUAUGACGUCAUCGCGACCCCUUAUGACGUCAUCGUGACCCCUUGUGACAUCACUGCGAUCACUCAUGACACCGUCAUGAUCCCUCAUGACGUCACCAUGACUACUUAUGACAUCAUUAACCGUUAUGACAUCAUCAUGAUGGUUUAUGAUGUCAUCGUGACCCCUUAUUAUGUCACUGUGACUGGCGAUGACGUCAUUGUGAUGGCGUAUGAUGGCGCCGGUGGCAGUGGUAACGUCAUUGCGGUCGCCGAUGACGUCAUCACCCCCAAACCUGGCGACCUUGGCCCCGACGCCGCCGUCAUCGUCCCCGGGGUGUCCCCGCCGCCGCCGUGCCCUCCCCACCGUGACGUCACCGUCCUCGGUGAUGACGUCACCGCGCUGUCCCUGACCACGUGAUGCCCUCCCCGUGACAUCAUCACCCCUCCCCAUGACGUCACCACCUCUACCCACGACAUCACCCCCGCUCCCGGUGAUGUCACCGCCCCUCCCGAUGACAUCAUUCCCACUCCUGGUGAUGUCACCGCUCCUCCCAAUGACAUCAUUCCCACUCCUGGUGACGUCACUGCCCCUCCCAGUGAUGUCACCACCACUCCCGGUGACAUCACUGC